CCUACGGGUGGCAGCAGUGGGGAAUAUUGCACAAUGGGGGGAACCCUGAUGCAGCGACGCCGCGUGAGUGAAGAAGUAUUUCGGUACGUAAAGCUCUAUCAGCAGGGAAGAAAAAAGGACGGUACCUGCGUAAGAAGCCCCGGCUAACUAGGUGCCAGCAGCCGCGGUAAUACGGAGGGGGCAAGCGUUAUCCGGAAUUACUGGGUGUACAGGGAGCGUAGACGGCAAUGCAAGUCCGGCGUGGAAGGCGGCAGCUCAAGGGCCGAACUGCUCUUGAGACUGUAUGGCUUGAGUGCAGGGGGGGUAAGCGGAAUUCCUGGUGUAGCGGUGAAAUGCGUAGAUAUCAGGAGGAACACCGGUUGCGAAGGCGGCUUACUGGACUGUAACUGACGUUGAGGCUCGAAAGCGUGGGGAGCAAACAGGAUUAGAUACCCGAGUAGUC
RNAcentral lists this ribosomal RNA (442 nucleotides) under uncultured bacterium. RNAcentral describes it as "partial 16S ribosomal RNA". It matches the Rfam family "Bacterial small subunit ribosomal RNA", at positions 338 to 795 of the family's 1533-position model. The record is from RNAcentral.